This 379-nucleotide ribosomal RNA is filed under the name uncultured bacterium. Its description in RNAcentral is "bacterial SSU rRNA". It matches the Rfam family "Bacterial small subunit ribosomal RNA", at positions 521 to 898 of the family's 1533-position model. The record is from RNAcentral.
UAAUACGAAGGGUGCAAGCGUUACUCGGAAUUACUGGGCGUAAAGCGUGCGUAGGUGGUCGUUUAAGUCUGUUGUGAAAGCCCUGGGCUCAACCUGGGAACUGCAGUGGAAACUGGACGACUAGAGUGUGGUAGAGGGUAGCGGAAUUCCUGGUGUAGCAGUGAAAUGCGUAGAGAUCAGGAGGAACAUCCAUGGCGAAGGCAGCUACCUGGACCAACACUGACACUGAGGCACGAAAGCGUGGGGAGCAAACAGGAUUAGAUACCCUGGUAGUCCACGCCCUAAACGAUGCGAACUGGAUGUUGGGUGCAAUUUGGCACGCAGUAUCGAAGCUAACGCGUUAAGUUCGCCGCCUGGGGAGUACGGUCGCAAGACUGAA